CGUGACCCGCAGCCCACCCCUGCACCAGUGGACACUGCGGGAUGGCCAGGCCUCAGCUCUGCAUUUUCACUUCUCUUAGCUCUCAUCUCCUCCACACAGAGACAGCUCUUUCUGAGUAUCUUUCUGAUACUGUUCUUUAUCCCCCAGGACUGGCCCAGCCCAGGGCGGUGCAUACAGCAGAUACUUAAUGUAACACAGUAGCAGCUUUUAAUUUCUCAGGCCAAUGAGAUACAGACAGUCACUGGUAUGGUAGUUUUUCAGUCAAGCAUCAAGGGAAGAACCUAUUAGUUUGAAUUAUACAAACAACAGAAGUAGAAAACUCCACAAUGAAAAAUCUCAGCUGGUAGAGAAGCUCAGGAGCU
RNAcentral lists this non-coding RNA (362 nucleotides) under Pongo abelii (Sumatran orangutan). The record is from RNAcentral. Lineage: Eukaryota; Metazoa; Chordata; Mammalia; Primates; Hominidae.